Bison bison bison is the source of this 99-nucleotide ribosomal RNA. NCBI's taxonomy places the organism in Eukaryota, Metazoa, Chordata, Mammalia, Artiodactyla, Bovidae. The record is from Ensembl.
GUCUAUGCCUAUACCUCCCUGAACCCUCCCGAUCUUGGAAGCUAAACAGGGCUGGGCCUGGUUAGUAUUUGGAUGGGAGACAUUCUGUACCCAUGAACU